Molecule: ribosomal RNA, 496 nt
Filed under: uncultured bacterium
Lineage: Bacteria
Description: partial 16S ribosomal RNA
Rfam family: Bacterial small subunit ribosomal RNA
Source: RNAcentral
AUUGAACGCUGGCGGAAUGCUUUACACAUGCAAGUCGAACGGUAGAGGGGGCAACCCCUCGAGAGUGGCGAACGGGUGAGUAAUAUAUCGGAACGUGCCCAGUCGUGGGGGAUAACGUAGCGAAAGUUACGCUAAUACCGCAUACGAUCUAAGGAUGAAAGCGGGGGAUCGCAAGACCUCGCGCGAUUGGAGCGGCCGAAAUCAGAUUAGGUAGUUGGUGGGGUAAAGGCUCACCAAGCCAACGAUCUGUAGCUGGUCUGAGAGGACGACCAGCCACACUGGAGCAGAGACACGGUCCAGACUCCUACGGGAGGCAGCAGUGGGGAAUUUUGGACAAUGGACGCAAGUCUGAUCCAGCCAUUCCGCGUGCAGGAUGAAGGCCCUCGGGUUGUAAACUGCUUUUGUACGGAACGAAAAGGUCUCUCUUAAUACGGGGGGCUCAUGACGGUACCGUAAGAAUAAGCACCGGCUAACUACGUGCCAGCCGCCGCCGUAA